RNAcentral lists this ribosomal RNA (252 nucleotides) under uncultured bacterium. RNAcentral's name for it is "partial 16S ribosomal RNA". It matches the Rfam family "Bacterial small subunit ribosomal RNA", at positions 524 to 776 of the family's 1533-position model. The record is from RNAcentral.
UACGGAGGAUGCGAGCGUUAUCCGGAUUUAUUGGGUUUAAAGGGUGCGUAGGCGGGUUAUCAAGUCAGCGGUAAAAUCGUGGAGCUCAACUCCAUCCAGCCGUUGAAACUGAUGAUCUUGAGUGGGCGAGAAGUAUGCGGAAUGCGUGGUGUAGCGGUGAAAUGCAUAGAUAUCACGCAGAACUCCGAUUGCGAAGGCAGCAUACCGGCGCCCGACUGACGCUGAAGCACGGAAGCGUGGGUAUCGAACAGG